UACUAGAGUAGCACUCGCAUAUCAAUAAGCGGAGGAAAAGAAACUAACAAGGAUUCCCCUAGUAACGGCGAGUGAAGCGGGAAGAGCUCAAAUUUGAAAUCUUAAAGGGUUUCCCUUUUACGAAUUGUAGUUUAAAGAAGUGUUUUCUGUUGAGGUUUUGGUAAAAGUUCUUUGGAAUAGGACAUCAUAGAGGGUGAGAAUCCCGUAUUUGACCUUUACUUUCAACCUUUGUGAUACACUUUCAAAGAGUCGGAUUGUUUGGGAAUGCAGUCCAAAAUGGGUGGUAAAUUUCAUCUAAAGCUAAAUAUUGGCGAGAGACCGAUAGCGAACAAGUACCGUGAGGGAAAGAUGAAAAGAACUUUGAAAAGAGAGUUAAACAGUACGUGAAAUUGUCAAAAGGGAAGCGUUUGACACCAGUGUUGUUUUUCUGAAAAUCAAUUAAAGAACUGUUUAUGCUAAGCUGUUUAGACUUUAUCAGCUAUCUGUUUAGUUUUGAGCUUUUCUUUAAUGCACUUUUCAGUUAACAAGUCAACAUCAAUUUCUUUUGCUGUAAAAAAGCUUGAGGAAGGUGGCUUGAGAUUCGUCUUAAGUGUUUAUAGCCUCUUGCCUAUGCAGUCGGAGAGAUUGAGGUCUGCAGCGUAGAUCCUUCGGGGCUAAAUGCAUUUGUGCUAAGUUAUAGCAUUUUAUAGACAACUUGUUGACUAUGAUUUGUCUUGUAGCUUACUCGCUUAUGUUAUUUUACCUACGCUUAGGAUGUUGAACUCUAUCACACACAG
This 776-nucleotide ribosomal RNA is filed under the name uncultured Neocallimastigales. RNAcentral describes it as "partial large subunit ribosomal RNA". It matches the Rfam family "Eukaryotic large subunit ribosomal RNA", at positions 20 to 627 of the family's 3401-position model. The record is from RNAcentral. Lineage: Eukaryota; Fungi; Neocallimastigomycota; Neocallimastigomycetes; Neocallimastigales.